UUCGGGAGGUAGUGGUGGUGGUACUGCUGCUAAAGAUGCCCUUGGAAACGACAUCGUUGUAGCAGAAUGGCUAAAAACCCAUGGACCCGGUGACCGAACCCUAUCUCAAGGUCUAAAGGUACUACUAGCUAUUUCUUUUACUUUAAUAAACAUAUAUAACGAGGGUAUUUACGUCUUUUGCACCUACCAUAGUCCUCGUUCCAUUUUUUAAGGUUGGACAAAAAAUUGUAAUUUUUGUCUAAUUCACACAAGAUCCAAUCCAAUUCAAGUAACAUGUUAGAAGCUUCCGAUUCGGUCUUAUAGCCUCAGAUAUGACUCUUAGGUCAAUCAGAUCUAACUCAAUCAACAACUAUCAAACAGUAUUUAUACAACUGUCGAAAAUGAAAUGAUUUUGAGUGUAUGUGAAAUUAUAGGGAGACCCGACGUACCUUGUGGUGGAGAAUGAUAGAACCCUAGCCACAUACGGAAUCAACGCGGUGUGCACACAUCUCGGGUGUGUCGUGCCAUGGAACAAAGCAGAGAACAAGUUCAUGUGCCCGUGCCAUGGUUCCCAAUACAAUAACCAAGGCAAAGUUGUUAGGGGUCCGGCUCCUUUGGUAAGACAAUCCGUUGCACUCUUCUUUUCGUAUGAAAUACAAUGCAUAAUGUACAAGUGUUGAUGCAUGAGGUACAAUUUUUAUGGCACAAAGCACAACUUUUGAUGCAAGUAAAAGUUGUCUUGCACAAAGUACAACUUGUUGUGCAUAGUGUACAAGUUUUUGAUCAACUAAGCACAAGUUUUUAUGCAUAAUGCACAACUUGCAAUGCAUAGUAUAUAAUUAGGGGUGAUCGAUAUAUACACGUUUUAGUAGAAAGUAGCGAUGAGUAAUGUAUAAAUUUUGAUGCAAAUGGUACAAGUUGUUGAUGCAAUAAUUUGUUGAUUUGUGAACAGUCAUUGGCACUUGCUCAUGCGGAUGUUGAUGAUGGGAAAGUGAUAUUUGUUCCAUGGACCGAGACAGAUUUCAGAACCGGUGAGGCUCCAUGGUGGUCAUAAGCGUCUCAAUGCCUCCCUUUUGAGAUUCUUGGUUUGUUUUGAUUCGAGAAUUAAAAUAUGUACACACAACUUAAGGUUUUAAAUAUUGUACCCAAAAAGUUUAUAAAUUUGUAAAAUGGUUAUUAAUAAUUAUUUU
RNAcentral lists this long non-coding RNA (1169 nucleotides) under Lactuca sativa (garden lettuce). Its description in RNAcentral is "long non-coding RNA (LSAT_LNC009722)". Lineage: Eukaryota; Viridiplantae; Streptophyta; Magnoliopsida; Asterales; Asteraceae. The record is from RNAcentral.